Molecule: ribosomal RNA, 405 nt
Filed under: uncultured bacterium
Lineage: Bacteria
Description: bacterial SSU rRNA
Rfam family: Bacterial small subunit ribosomal RNA
Source: RNAcentral
UGGGGAAUAUUGCACAAUGGACGAAAGUCUGAUGCAGCGAUUCUGCGUGGAGGAUGAAGCAUUACGGUGUGUAAACUCCUUUUCUGGUAGAAGACGAAUGACGGUAUACCAGGAAUAAGGGACGGCUAACUAUGUGCCAGCAGCCGCGGUAAUACAUAGGUCCCAAGCGUUAUCCGGAUUUACUGGGCGUAAAGAGUCUGUAGCCUGAUAUGUAAGUCUGUUUUCAAAUACUCCGACUCAAUCGGAGAAAGGGGAUAGAUACUGCAUAUCUGGAAGUUAUUGGGGGUUAGUGGAAUUUCCGGUGGAGCGGUGAAAUGCGUUGAUAUCGGAAAGAACGCCGAAAGUGAAAACAGCUAACUACAAUAAACUUGACGGUCAGAGACGAAAGCUUGGGGAGCAAACGGG